CCGAGUUUACAGCUCCCAAACCCCUGUGAACAUACCUACAACGUUGCCUCGGCGGCCCCCCGCCUCCCCGUAAGACGGGAGCGGCCCGCCAGAGGACCCAACAAACUCUGUUAUUUUCAGUAUCUUCUGAGUACAAACACAAUCAAUUA
This 149-nucleotide unclassified non-coding RNA is filed under the name soil metagenome. Its description in RNAcentral is "partial internal transcribed spacer 1". The record is from RNAcentral.